GACGAACGCUGGCGGCGUGCCUAAUACAUGCAAGUCGAACGGUUUAGUUCCAAGAGGCUUGCCUUUUGGAACUAGACAGUGGCGGACGGGUGAGUAACACGUAGGCAACCUACCUGUCAAACCGGGAUAACCUCGGGAAACCGAAGCUAAACCCGGAUAAGCUCCUUUUUCGCAUGACGGGGGAGUGAAAAGGUGCGACCUGAUGACAGAUGGGCCUGCGGCGCAUUAGCUAGUAGGUAGGGUAACGGCCUACCUAGGCGAUGAUGCGUAGCCGACCUGAGAGGGCGUACGGCCACACUGGGACUGAGAUACGGCCCAGACUCCUACGGGAGGCAGCAGUAGGGAAUCUUCGGCAAUGGGUGAAAGCCUGACCGAGCAACGCCGCGUGAGUGAGGAAGGCCUUCGGGUUGUAAAACUCUGUUGUUUGGGAAGAAGGGAAAGGGUAGGACCCUUAGGUGACGGUACCAAACGAGAAAGCCCCGGCUAACUACGUG
Molecule: ribosomal RNA, 494 nt
Filed under: uncultured bacterium
Lineage: Bacteria
Description: partial 16S ribosomal RNA
Rfam family: Bacterial small subunit ribosomal RNA
Source: RNAcentral